This 294-nucleotide long non-coding RNA is filed under the name Nicotiana benthamiana. RNAcentral's name for it is "long non-coding RNA (NBEN_LNC036513)". The record is from RNAcentral. Lineage: Eukaryota; Viridiplantae; Streptophyta; Magnoliopsida; Solanales; Solanaceae.
CAAAACCUACAAAUAUGAACACACGUUUAGUUUAGCGACUUGAGAACGUGUUUCAACAGAGUUAAGGUCUGCGUACACAGUACCCUCCCCAAACCCCACUAAUGGGAUUUUACUGGGUUGUUGUUGUUGUACCAUGAGUUUUUGGUCGUAGAAGGAUCUGCCUUCUCAAACCUUUUUUUUUGAUAAGGAAAAUAGUUUUAUUAAUGACCUGCACUUUCAAACCUAUCGGUUUGGAUUUCUGGGGGACAAAUGUGUUUUUUUUGCUUGUACGAAGGCAAAGGGAGUGAUCCUGAC